AAGCAAAAUGCAUAGAAGGGAAAGAAUGAGGCUAUCCCAACAGCCCUUUUUAUGAAAUUAUAACGGAGGGAGUAGUAUAUUAUUAGCACUUCUGCCUCUAUUUUGUGCUGGUCUUUAUUUAACAGCCAGUUUGGAUGGUUGUUACAUAUUGCUUCAAAGAGGCGAUGAUGAUUUUGUAAAAUAUUACUAAUUCCCUUCUGAGCUGAUUAAUUCGGGUAUUUGAGAUGACCCGACCCGUAUCUUGGCAGGGCAUGACCCGGUUUAUCCUGGUGGUUUUUGCAGCCGUGGUGUUGUUGGGACUCUCUUUUUGCCUGAGCUAAACAAAGAUCUGAGCCUCAUUUUCUCUAUCAUUUUGGGAAAUAUAUUUUACUUUUAGGGUUCUUUUGGUUUACAGCGUGUUUGGAUUGGCUUAUUUUAGGUGCUUUUAAGCCAAAAUAGCUUUUAAGCACUUACACUCUGUUUGGAUGGUCGUUACCCAUGGUUUCAUAAUGUACAGUAUUGUAUUGUAUAGUAUCGCAUGCAAGUGCCGGUGAGUAUAAUUGAUGGCUUAUGAACAAAGCAAAAAGCUCAGAAGGGAAAGAAUGAGUCUUCAGAUAGUUUAAGGAUUUUCAUUGAAAGGUGGUUGCCUCCCUCUGCAUUUAGCCAAUGAUUUCUCCAUUACUCUAAGAAUCCCAACAUCCUUUUAAUCAAUUUUAACGGAGGGAGUAACUUUCUCUAUAUCAGUUGAUGAAAUAUUAUUUAGGGUUCGUUUGUUUUAGCCUGUUUGGAUUGGCUUAUUGUAGGUGGUUUUAAGCUAAAAUGGCUUUUAAGCACUUAGAGACAAGUUACCCGCAAGGGUGGCUCAGUUGGUUGAGCAUGGGGGUUUCAUAAUGGAGGUCUCAGGUUCGAAACCCCUUGCCUACGAUAGCAGGAGAUUGCCUUCUGGGUCGAGCUCGUUGCACGAGGCUUGCCUAGUGCGGGUUACCUCUCCUGUGUGGUUUGCGAGCUAUUGCACAGGAGCUGGGUUUACCCAGUGCGCAUCCAAAGGGUAGCGGCUGCAGGUUCCCAUGACAUGAUAAAAAAAAAAAAGCACUUAGAGACAAGUUUUGCAGGUGCUGGUUAGUAUAAUUGUGGGCUUAUGAUUUUGUCAAUCUUUCAGUCUGAGCAUAUUAAUCGGGUAUUUGAGAUGAUUCGACCAGGUUCUUGGCGGGGCAUGCCGUCAGAUUUUCUGGUGGUUUUUGCAGCCAUGGCGGUGUUGGACUCUCUUGUUGCCCGAGCUUAAUACAGAUCUGAGCCUCGCUAACUAUUUCUGAUAGUGCAGGGGUAUAAUUGACCCUUUCCGGUUUUGUCAAUCUUUCCGUCUGAGCUUAUUAAUCUGGGUAUUUGAGAUGAUCCGACCUGUAUCUUGGCGGGGCAUGCCCCCAGAUUUUCUGAUAGGGAAAUGGACAAACUAAAAACUCAGAAGUUAAAGAAUGAGGCUACAUAGAAAUGAGGAUUUUCAUUUCUCUGGUAUAUGAAACCAGAGAUUCUGGGUUCGAUCCCUAGCAGAGUUGAUCAAUUGUCUAUCCUUAUCAAAAAAGAAAUGAGGACUUUCAUUUCUCCAUUUGUAAGAAUCCCAACAACCCUCUUAUCAAUUUUAACGGAGGGUAUUCACAGCUCGUUUGGCAUUUGAAGUGCAAAAAUUAAAGACCAUACCAUUUGAAAUGAAUACAAUAAUGAACCACAGGAAAGAAUGAGGCUACAGGGAUUUGAGUGGUUGCCUCUCCUGCAUCAGUCAAUGAUUCCUCCAUUACUGUAAGAAUCCCAACAGCCCUUUUAUCAAUUUUAACAGAGGGAGUAUUAUAAGCAGCUUGUUUGGCAUUUGUAAUGCAAAAAUUAAAGUUCAACUCAUUUGAAGGGCAAUCUGUGCAAUUUCUUCAUUGUUGUUACAUAUCGUUCAAAGGGUUUCUAUUUUUUUUUUCCUUUUCUUUUUUUAAUGCUUCCUCCGGAGCAUUGAAUGCUGCCGGUGGAGCUGGUGGAAAUGGUGCUGGUGCCUGGUGAGUAUAAUCAGUGGCUUGAAAGAGGCGAUGAUGAUUUUGUCAAUUUUUAAAUCCUUUCUGUGCUGAUUAAUCGGGCAUUUUAGAUAAUCCGACCCGUAUCUUGACGGGGCAUUCUUUCAGAUUUUCUGGUGGUUUUUGCAGCCAUGGCGUUGUUGGACUCUCUUGUUACCCGAACCAGAUCUGAGCCUCACUAUAUAAACAAAAGGGCAGGAAAUAAACAAAGCAAAAAGUUCAGAAGGGAAAGAAUGAGGUUGCAGAGGGUUCUAAGGAUUUUUCAUUGAAAGGGUGGUUGCCUCUCUCUGUCUGCAUUUAGCCAAUGAUUUCUCCAUCACCUGUGAGAAAUCCAACAACCCUUUUUAUCAAUUUUAACGGAGGGAGUAUUAUUAUUAACCAAGUCAUUUGCACUUUAGGCCCUAUUUUGUGCUGGUCUUUAAUUAAACGGAAAUGAGUUGGAUUUGUCCCUGUACUCUCACAAAUAAGUAUAAUCGGACGGCUUGAAAGAGGCAAUGAUGAUUUUGUAAAUGAUUAAUACCCUUCUGAGCUGAUUAAUUGGGUAUUUGAGAUGACCCGACCCGUAUUUUUGCGGGGCAUGACCUGGUUUAUCUGUGGUUUUUUGCAGCCAUGGCAUUGUAGGAUUCUCUGUUAUGCCUGAGCAUAAAUAGUUAAAUAAGAUCUGAGCCUCACUUUCACUGUCAUUUUUGGAAAUAUUUUAUUAGGUGUUUGGCGAUAGAAACCAAAUAUUUUUCACUUCAUUUGAAAUUUUUGAAGUUGGAGUUGUUUUUUAUUAUAGUUUUGCAAAGAAUAUUUGGUUGUUUGAAUAUACUGAAAGUGCCAAAAGUGAAAACAAGGUUUUAGGUGUUUUCCAAGUUCCUAAUACAGCUUCAGGUUUUCAUGGCAAACGUUAAUUGUCAAAUGAAGCGAAAAUUUUCUUCAGAAAAAUGUGAAUACUUCUCAUGGCCAAACGGGUCCUUUGGGUUUGCUUGGUUUAGAGACAAGUUAUGCAGGUGCUGGUGAGUGGUGAGUAUAAUUGACGGCUUAUAAUUUUCUUAAUCUUUCAGUCUUAGCUUUGAUUAAUCUGGCAUUUGAGAUAAUCCGGCCCGUAUCUUGGCGGGGCAUGACCCGGUUUUCCUGGUGGUUUUUGCAGCCAUGGCGGGGUUGGACUCUCUGUUAUGCCUGAGCUUAAACACAGAUCUGAGCCUCCCUUUCUCUGUCAUUUUGGGAAAUAUUUUAUUUUUAGGGUUUAUUUGGUUUAGGGACAAGUUAUGUAAGUGCUGGUUAGUAUGAUUUACGGCUUAUGAUUUUGUCGAUCUUUCAGUCUGUGCUUUCGGGGAAAUUUUCAAGAAUAUACUGCCCAACAUAUAUUAUUAUGCCACGUAGCCCAAUAUACAACAUUAUACCUGGGGAAAGCAUUAUACACAGUAUCAACCUUGUAAAAAAGUGUAUAAAAGGUCUUUAUACACAAAUAUGAGCUAAAUCCGGUAACAAACUCAAAGUAUGGGCUACAUGGCGUUAAUAUUUUCAAAUAUAGACAGAGCGUAAUUUUCCCUAUUAAUCGGGCAUGUGAGAUGAUCCGACCCGUAUCUUGACUGGGAAUUCUCCCAGAUUUUCUGGUGGUUUUUGCAGCCAUGGCCUCGUUGGACUUUCUCUUGUUGCUUGAGCUUAACACAGAUCUGAGCGUCACUUUCUCUGUCAUUUUCGGAAAUAUUUUAUUUUUGGGCUUCUUUGGUUUAGAGCCUGUUUGGAUUGGCUUAUUUUUGGUGUUUUUAAGUCAAAAUAGCUUUUAAGCACUUAGAGACAGGUUAUGCUGGUGCUGAUGAGCAUAAUGGAGGGAUUAUGAUUUUGUUAAUCUUUCAGUCUGAGCUGAUUAAUUGGUAUUUGAGAUAAUCCGAUCCGUAUCCUGGCAGGGCAUGCUCCCAGAGUAUCUGGUGGGUUUUGCAGCCAUGGCGUGGUUGGACUCUCUUUUUGUGCGAGUUUAAAUCUGAGCCUAAAUUUUUCUCUAUCCAGCUUCUUUUUUUUGUUUUUUUUAAAUAAUAUUUAGGGUGUGUUUGGUACGAUAGAAAUUGUUCUUAUGGAAAAUAAGUGGGGGUGGUGGAAGUGGUGGGGUUGAGUAUUAUCGAUGGCUUGAAAGAGGCGAUGAUGAUUUUGUCAAUUUUAAAUCCCUUCUGAGCUAAUUAAUCGGGUAUUUGAGAUAAUCCGACCUGUGUCUUAGCAGGGCAUGCCCCGUUUUUUCUGGUAGUUUUUGCAGCCAUGGCAUGGUUGAACUCUCUUUUUGCCAGAGCCUACCACAGAUCUGAGUCUCAACUUUUCUCUAUAUCAGUUGGGAAAAUUAUUACUUAGGGUUCGUUUGGUUUUGGAGACAAGUUAUGCAGGUGCUGUUGAGUAUAUUGACUGCUUGAAAGAGGCCAAUGAUUUUUGACAAUGUUUAUAACCUUUUGAGCUGGUUAAUUGGGCAUUUGAGGUUAUCCGACCCGUAUCUUGGCGGGGCAUGCUCCCAGAUUUUCUGGUGGUUUUUGCAGCCAUGGUGUGGUUAGACUCUACUGGGUAUGUUGGUGGUGUGGUUGGACUCUCUUUUUGCCCAACCUUAACACCGGUCUGAGCCUCAAUUUUUGUAUGUCAGCUUGGAUUUAAAAAAUAAUAAUAUUUAGGGUGUUUGGUAUGAAGGAAAAUGUUUUGAUGGAAAAUGAGUGGGAGUGGUGGAAGCGGUGGGGGUGAGUAUACUCGGCGGCUCAAAAGAGGCGAUGAUGAUUUUUGUAAAUUUUUAUUCCCUUCUGAGCCGAUUAACCGGGCAUUUGAGGUUUAUCCGACCUGUAUCUUGGCGGGGCGUGGCUCCAGAUUUUCUGGUGGUUUUUACGGCCAUGGCGUGGUUGGACUCUUUUUGCCUGAGCUUAACAUAGAUCUGAGCGUCACUUUUUGCCUGAGCUUAACAUAGAUCUGAGCCUCACUUUAACUAUGUCAUUUUGAGAAACAAAAGGUUAGGGAAAUGAACAAAGCAAAACGCUCAGAAGGGAAAGAAUGAGGCUACAGAGAAAUGAGGAUUUUCAUUGAAAGGGUGGUUGCCUCUCUCUGCAUUUAACCAAUGAUUUCUCCAUUACUGUAAGAAUCCCAACAGCCCUUUUAUCAAUUUUAAAGCUGGGAGUAUUAUUAUUAAUAGCUCGUUUGGCAUUUGAAGUGCAAAAAUUAAAGACAAUUCCAUUUGCAAUUUCUUCAUUGUCGUUAGUUGUGGAGACAAUUCCAUUUGCAAUUUCUUCAUUGUCGUUAGUUGUGGCAUACUGUUCAAAGGGUUUCUAUGCCCUUCAACUCUUUUUUUCUUUUUUCUUUAAUGCUUCCGCCGGAGCAUUGAAUGCUGCCGGUGGAGCUGGUGGAAACGGCAGUGAGUAUAAUCGGUGGCUUGAAAGAGGCGAUGAUGAUUUUUGUCAAUUUUUAAUUCCCUUCUGAGCUGAUUAAUCGGGCAUUUGAGAUAAUCCGACCCGUAUCUUGGCGGGGCAUGCUCCCAGACUUUCUGGUGGUUUUUGCAACCAUGGCGUUGUUGGACUCUCUUUUUGCCCGUGUUAUACACAGAUCUGAGCCUCAUUUACUCUCGUCAUUUUGGGAAAUAGUUCAUUUUUAGAGUUCGUUUGGUUUGGAGCCUGUUUGGAUUGGCUUAUUUUAGGUGCUUUUAAGCUAAAAUAGCUUUUAAGCAGUUAGAGACACGUUAUGCAGGUGCUACUGAGUAUAGUUGAGGGCUUAUGAUUUUGUCUGUCUUUCAGGCUGAGCUUAUUAAUCGGGUAUUUGAGAUGAUCCAACCCGUUUCUUGGCGGGGCAUGCCGUCAGAUUUUCUGGUGGUUUUUGCAGCCAUAGCUGCGUUUGACUCUCUUGUUGCCUGAGCUUAAUACAUCUGAGCCUCACUUUAAACUAUUUCUGAUAGUACAGGGGUAUAUUUGACCCUUUUCCGUUUUGUCAAUCUUUCCGUCUAAGCUUAUUAAACAGGUAUAUGAGAUUAUCCGACCCGUAACUUGGCGGGGCAUGCUCCCAGAUCUUCUGGUUGUUUUUGCAGCCAUUGUAUUGUUGGAGUCUCUUGUUGCCCGAGCUUAACACAGAUCUGAGCCUCACUUUCUCUGUCAGUUUAGGGAAAUGAACAAACUAAAAACUCAGAAGUUAAAGAAUGAGGCUUCAGAAAAAUGAUGAUUUUCAUUUCUCUGGUCUACAAAAUCAGAGAUUCUGGGUUCGAUCCCAGCAGAGUCGAUCAAUUGUCUGUCCUUAUCAAAAAAGAAAUGAGGAUUUUCAUUUCUCCAUUACUGUAAAAAUCCCAACAACCCUUUUGUCAUUUUAUUGGAGGGAGUUUUAUUAUUAACAGCUCGUUUGGCAUUUGAAGGGCAAAAAUUAAAGACCAUACCAUUUGAAGGGCAAUUCUUCAUUGUUCUUACAUAUCGUUCAAAUAUAUGCCCUUCAACUCUUCUUUUUUCUUCUCUUUUUAAUGCUUCUGCAGGAGCAUUCAAUGUUACCGGUGGAAAUGGCGGCGGUGAGUAUAAUCGGUGUCUUGAAAGAGGCGAUGAUGAUUUUGUCAAUUUUAACUUCCUUCUGAGCUGAUUAAUUAGGCAUUUGAGAUGAUCCCACCCGUUUCUUGGCGGGGCAUGCUCCCAGACUUUCUGGUAGUUUUUGCAGCCAUGGUGUCGCCGGACUCUCUUUUUGGCCAAGCUAUCACAGAUCUGAGCUUCACUUUCUCUGUCAGUUCAGGGAAACAAAAGGUUAGGGAAAUGGAUAAAGCAAAAAUUCAGAAGCGAAAGAAUGAGGCUACAGAGAGUUGAGGAUUUUUCAUUGAAAGGGUGGUUGCUUCUCUCUGCAUCAGCCAGUGAUUUCUCCAUUACUGUAAGAAAUCCAACAACCCUUUUAUCAAUUUUAACGGAGGGAGUAUAUUAUUAGCAGCUUCUGCUUGAAUGAUUGGUACAUAUCGUUUGAAGGGCAAACGGUGUAAUUUCUUCUUUAAAGAGGCGAUGAUGAUAUUUGUCAAUUUUUAUUCCCUUCUGAGCUGAUUAAUCGGGUAUGUGAGGUCCCGUAUCUUGGCGGGGCAUGCUCCCAGAUUUUGUGGUGGUUUUUGCAGCCAUGGCGUGGUUGAACUCUCUUGUUGCCCGAGCUUAACACAGGUCUGAGCCUCACUUUAAACUAUUUCUGAUAGUACAGGGGUAUAUUUGACCCUUUUCCGUUUUGUCGAUCUUUCAGUCUGAGCUUAUUAAUCAGGUAUUUGAGAUGGUCCGACCCGUAUCUUGGCGGGGCAUGCUUCCAGAUUUUCUGGUGGUUCUAGCAGUCAUGGCAUGGUUGGUCUCGCUUUUUGCCUGAGCUGAAACACAGGUCUGAGCCUCAAUUUACCGGACUCCACUACUGUAAGAACCCCAACAACGACAAACUUUUUGUCAAUUUUGACUGAGGGAGUAUUAUUAACAUCUUCCGGAUACUAUGUAAAUAAACCCUUAGGGAAAUGAACAAACCAAUCAGAAGGGAAAGAAUGAGGCUACUGAGAGUUCAGGGAUUUUUCAUUGAAAGGGUCGUUGCCUCUCUCUGCAUACAGCCAAUGAUUUCUCCAAUCCUUGUGAGAAACCCAACAACCUUUUUAUCAAUUUUAAUGGAGGGAGUAAUACAACAACAUACCCAACGUGAUUAGAGCGUACACAGACCUUACCCAGGUAGGGGUAAGGCUGCGUACAUCUUACCCUCCCCAGACCCCACUAUUGUGGGAUUACACUGGGUAGUGACCCAUAUAGAGAAAGUGAGGCUCAGAUUUGUGUUAAGCUUGGGCAACAAGAGAGUCCAACAACACCAUGGCUGCAAAAACUACCAGAAAGUUUGGAAGCAUGCCCCGCCAAGAUACGGGUCGGAUUAUCUCAAAUGCCCAAUUAAUCAGCUCCGAAGGGAAUAAAAUUGACAAAAAUCAUCAUCGCCUCUUUAAAGAAGAAAUGGCACAGUUUGCCCUUGAAACGUAUUUAACAACUAGAGCAAUGCCAACUGAUCAAUGAUUUCCUGAUAGCUUUACCAUUACCUCAACUCUUAUCAUCAAUACCAUCUUUAUCGUAUAUUUCUUUUUUCUGAAUGUGUCAAAUGGUACACAUUUCACUUUCAUUGCUCUAACUUUUCUUUAUCACUAUCCCCAUAUUGUCCGAGGGUCUUUCGGAAAGAGCCGUCCUACCUUGGUAGGAGUAAGGUCUGCGUACACUCUACCCUCCCCAGACCCCACGAUGUGGGAUUUCACUGGGUUGUUGUUGUUGUUGUUGUAUCCCCAUAUUGUCCAAACAGAAUUAUUAGGUGGUGGACCGUUGUACAACACCUAUUAUUGUUACUUUUAACUUUUCCCCACAUAUAUUUUUCCACAAGCCCCAUGUUCAUCUGUCGGAUUUUUUAUGCUUUAAUCACAUUAUUAAUGGACCAUCUUAAACACUCAAUUCAUUAAGACAAAAACAGUAUUCAUCUCUUAUCAAACUCACAAUCAAUGGCUACAGUUUCUUCAACUUGAUCUUAGUUUUAUAUCUACUGUUUCUCUUUCUCCAGCUUUCCCAUACAGCCCCUUUUUUUCCAGCUCUGAGUAUACUAAAUAUCAAGACUCUUGAAAAUGGCUGAUGCCUUUGUGUCAUAUGCAAUUCAAAAACUGGAGGAUUUCCUCAUACGGGAAGUUAACCUGCGGUCAAGUCUGAGAGAGAAUGUGCAGUGGCUGAGAAAUGAGCUGCUCUUCAUGCAGUCUUUCCUCAAAGAUGCAGAAGAAAAGCAGAGUGAAGAUCAAAGAGUUCGACAAUGAAAGAGGUGAUGAUGAUUUUUGUUAAUUUUUAAUUCCCUUAUGAGCUGAUUAACGGGCAUUUGAGGUUAUCAGACCUGUAUCUUGGCGGGGCAUGCUCCCAGUUCUUCUGGUGGUUUUUGCAGCCAUGGCGUGGUUGGACUCUCUUUUUGCCCAAGCUUAAACACAGAUCUGAGCCUCACUUCAACAAUGUCAUUAUGGGAAAUAAAAGGUUAGGGAAAUGAACAAAGCAAAAGCUCAUUUGGGCGAAAGAAUGAGGCUACAGAGAGUUUAGGGAUUUUCAUUGAAAGGGUGGUUGCCUCUCUCAUCAUUUAGCCAAUGAUUUCUCCACUACUGUGAGAAACCCAACAACCCUUUAAUCAAUUUUACUGGUCAUUUGCACUUUUGCCCUUAUUUUGUGGUUGUCUUUAAUUAAUAGCUGUUUGGAAGGUUGUUAUUUAUUGUUUCAGAGGGUUUGAAUGCCCUUCAACUCCUUUUUAAUGCUUCUGCCGGAGCAUUCAAUGUUGCCGGUGGAGCUGGUGAGUAUAAUCGGACGGCUUGAAAGAGGCGAUGAUGAUUUUGUUAAUUAUUAAUUCCCUUCUAAGCUAAUUAAUUGGGCAUUUGAGGUUAUCCGACCCAUACCUUGGCGGGGCAUGCCAUCGGAUUUUCUGGUGGUUUGCAGCCAUGGCGUUGCUGGACUCUCUUUUUGCCCGAGCUUACCACAGAUCUGAGCCUUACUUUCUCUGUCAGUUUAGGUAAACAAAAGGUUAGAGAAAUGAACAAAGCAAAAGCUCAGAAGGGAAAAAAAUGAGGCUACGGAGAGUUUAGGGAUUUCCAUUGAACGGGUGGUUUGCCUCUAUCUGUAUUGCCAAUGAUUUCUACAUUGCUGUAAGAAACUCAAUAACCCUUUUAUCAAUUUUAACAGAGGGUGUAUACUAGGAACAGCUCUUCGAUUGUUGGUUACAUAUUGUUUCAAAGGGUUUCCAUGCCCUUCUUAAAAACUAUUUUCUUGAGCCGAGGGUCUAUCUGAAACAGCCCCUCUACCCCACAACGGUAGGGGUAAGGUCUGUGUACACCCCACUCACCCCACACCCACUUGUGGGACUUUACAGGGUCUGUUGUUGUUGUUCUGCCGGAGCAUUUAGUGUUGCCGUUGGAGCUGGUGGAAAUGGUGCUGGUAACUAUAAUCGGGCGGCUUGAAUGAGGCGAUGAUUAUUUUUGUCAAUUUCAAAUCACUUAUGUGUUGAUUAACCGGGUAUUUGUGAUUAUCCGACCUGUAUCUUGGCGGGGCAUGCCCUGUUUUUUCUGGUGGUUUUUGCAGCUAUAGCGGCGUUGGACUCUCUUGUUGCCAGAGGUUAACGCAGAUCUGAGUUUUAUUUGGACCAAAGCAGGCAUUAUUAAGAAUUUCAGGGGGCACCCUAUUUGGACACUGUCAUGCUAUGCUAAUACCAUGCAUCCUCUUUAUCUUUUCCUUUUCUUUUAAUGCUCCCACCGGAGCAUUCAAAGUUGCCAUGGUGGUGGUGAGCAUAGUCAAUGCUUAAUAGAGGCGAUGAUGAUUUUGUCAUUCCCUCUUAGCCUAUGAGUCGGGCAUUUGAGAUAAUCCGACCCGUAUCUUGGCAGGGCAUCCCCCGCAGAUUUUUCUGGUGGUUUUUGCAGCCAUGGCGUAGCCUGACUCUAUCUUUGCCCGAACUUAACACAGAUCUGAGCCUCAGUUUCUCUGUGCUUUUUAAAAUGGGUAUGUAAUUAUCUAUAGGCUUGAGGGCACUAUAUAAACAGAAGGUCAGAAAGAUGACCAAAGCAAAAACUCAGAAGAGAAUCAUUGAUACCCUUAUGAGCUUAUCAAUCGGGCAUUUGAGAUUAUCCGACCCGUAUGUUGGUGUGGCAUGCCCCAGAUUCUCUGGGUUUUUUUUUUGGCAGCAUGGCGUCAUUGGACUCUCCUUUUGCCUUAGGUAAAUACAAUUUAUGGUGAUUGUUGAAAAUUCAGCCAUUAGCGUUGUUGAUGUUGUUGUUGUUGUUUGGAUUAUGGAAAGAUAUUACCCAUGAAUUGCAGACUUUUAUGGGUCUUUUCAGUUAAGUUCUCUGUAAAAACAAAGUGGCUAGCUCACGCUGUUUCUACAAAAUAUAUUUUGUUAUGACUCCAUCCUGAAAGAUUAUAUACGUACAAGAUGUGUAUCAAGGCUUCAGGGUACUACUGUAUAUGAUUUACGGGGCCUUUGACUCUUCUUUGUUAAAUUUUCUCAAUAACCUUUGGGGAGAUGAACAUAGCAAAAUCUGAGAAGGGAAAGAAUGAGGCUACAGGGAGUUUAGGAUUUCUGUUGAAAGGGUGGUUGCCUCUAUUCUCAUUAGCCAAUGAUUUCUCCACUACUGUAAGAAUCCCAACAAUGCUUUUAUCAAUCUUACUGAGGGAGCACUAUUAAGGGUUUCAUACCCUUCCAUGCUAUGCUAUACCAUCCAUUCUCUCUCUCUCUCUCUCUCUCUCUCUCUCUCUUUCUUUCUCAGUGCUUUCGCCAGAGCAUUGAAUUGUUCCAGUUGUGGCUAUUGAAGCGGUGAGUAUAAUCAAUGGCUUGAAAGAGGCGAUGAUGAUUGUGUCAAAUUUUUGUCCCCUUUUGAACUGAUUAAUCGGGCAUUUGAGAUUACCUGACCCGUAUCUUGGCAGGGCAUGCUCCCAGAUUUUCUGCUUGUUCUUGCAGCCAUGGCAUUGUCGGACUCUUUGUUUGCUCGAGCUUAACACAGAUCUGAGCCACACUUUCUCUAUGUCAGCUUGGAAAAUAUAUUAUAUUUCCUUAUGCUGAGGGUCUACCAGAAACAGCCUCUCUACCUCCCAAGUAGGGGUAAGGUCUGCAUACACUCUACCCUCCCCAGACCCCACUUUGUGGGAUUUCACUGGGUAUGUUGUUGUUGUUGGUUCGUUUGGUUAAAGACUGGUUAGAGUUAUGUAGGCGGUGCUGAGUAUAAUUGACGGCUUCAAAGAGGCGAUGAUGAUUUUGUAAAUCUUUUAUACCCGUAUGAGCUUAUCAAUCAGACAUUUGAGAUUUAUCCGACCUGGCGGGGCAUGCCCUAGAGUUUCUGGUGGUUAUUGCGGCCAUGGCGUCACCGGAUUCUCUUUUUGCUCGAGCUUAACACAGAUCUGAGCUACACGUCCUCUCUGUCUUUGAUAAACGCUUUUAUUGAGCUGAGGGUCUAUCAGAAACAACCUCUCUACCUCGCAAAGUAGGGGUAAGGUGUGCGUACACUCCACACUCGCCAGACCCCACUCGUGGGAUCACACUGGGUAUGUUGUUGGUUAAUAUGUAUAAAUAAUCUAUAUACAAAAUCCUGGAUCCGCCUGUGCAAAGUUAUGGUCUAGACUCUAGAAUGCAUAAACUUAAUCCUGGAUCUGUCUCCUCUGGAGACAAGUUAUGCAAGUGGUCAGUAUAAUUGACGGCUUGAAGGGCGAUGAUGAUUUGGUAAAUCUUUAUUCCCUUCCUAGUAUACUAAUCAGGCAUUUGAGAUUAUCCGACCCUUGUCUUGGCAGGGCAUGCUCCCAGAGUUUCGGGUGGUUUUCGCAGCCAUGGCGUUGUUGGACUCUCUUCUUGCCUGAGCUUAAACACAGAUCUGAGCCUCAAAAUUUAUGUGCUUUUUAAAAAAACUUCUGCUAGUUUGGAAAUGGAUAUAGAUGGACUCAUACCAUUCCCAACUUGCUUGGGAUGACGUGUAGUUGGUCCAAUCUAUUUAUCUGCAAACUCUUUUACCGAGGUAACCCUCACUGUCCUUUGCUGUCAGUUACAACUCAAGUGAAAUUUUUUCGAUUAUAAAAGCCACUUUAUGGUGAAAAUACCUAUGACCUUAUAGUUUUCUUCUGUUCUUACUCUCUAUUUAUAAGCAAUGAGGCGAUCAAGAUUUUGGCAUCUAUCGAAGUUGAAUCAGAUAUAAUCUUCUCCUGAGCUGAAAACACUGCAUCUUGGUGUGGUAGCUCAGAUUGGCUGUGAUUGGUGGAACAUUUCAUUUUUGGUGAAAGAAUGAGGCCGUUCCUUCAUUUUUGGUGGUUGCUCGGUUUCUCUGAAGUUUGAUUGCCUAUCAAUUCUUUGUUUUCUUUUUUAUCAACGGCUCUUGCAUCAGGAAAUGAUAAUGUUGUUGAUGAUGAUAAAAAUUUGUCAACAAUGCUCUUACCCCAAGUAGUUGGCGUUGCCUAUAUGACUCUUAGUGUCCAUUCCGCUCUAAAACCCGGAACUUAGUGAAUGAAGCUGUGGCAAUCUUAUCCAGUAAGCUUGAAUUUUGAAAUCUCAGACAUUUGAGCUGAUUUUUAUAUUCGUUUGGAAAAUUUUGAGGGAACUUGUGAGUUGGUUUUAUUUUCUAUUCUCACAAAACUUCUGCCCUUUGCUGCCACGACAGAUUAGCCCUUCUUCUGAUAGUUUAGACAAAUCUGUGACUCAUUUCUGUGUAACUCUCAGUUCCUUCCACAAUUUGGUAGAUUUCUGUUCCUGGUUCGGAGGUACUUUCAUUUUACAUGUUCAUUUCCAGCUCUUAGCACGAGUACAAUAAAAACUAUCAUUCAAUCCCAAACAAGUAGGGGUCAGCUAUAGGAAUCUGAAUCUGCAUUAUCCCUUCAGCUCCAUAUGGAUCCAUUUCAUCCAACUUUCAAUAUUUUUGGGACUUUUCUAACAAUAGAUGUUCCCUGCAUUUUUAACUGACCCUAGUGAACACUGGACUUAAUGUAAUCAUCUAACAUGACAGACCUUACCUGUGCUUUUUAAUAUAAUUAUAUAAGUAGGUGUUGGGCCAUGAAAACCAAAUAUUUUUCACUUCUUUUUUGAAAUUUUGAAGUUGGAGUUGAAAAUGAGUUGUGUUUGAUUAUAGUUUUUGCAAAGAAUAUUUGGUUGUUUGAAUGUACUGAAAGUGAAAACAGGGUUUUAGGUGUUUUCCAAAUUAAGUUGUAUUUGGAAUUUUCAUGGCCAAAUGCUGAUUUUCAAAUAAAGUGAAAAACAUUUCCGGAAAAAAGGAGAAAUUCUCAUGGCGAAACGGGUAUUGUCAUGUCAUGCUUUCAUCCUCAAUUUGAUGCCCUUUUUUGUAUCUUGAGAAUCCAAAAGUUCUGAGGCUAUGAAGAUUAUCUUAAAAAGACUGAAAUAUUGGAGUUAAUUCCAAGGCCUGGCUUGGCAAAGACAACCUGGAAGGUCUGUGAAGGAGGAUGAGAAAUAAUAAGUUUCUUGUAGUCCCUUCUCACGGCAGCCGAUCUUUGUAGCCAUGGCCGUUUUAGCUCUGCUCUUUGAUUAAAUAGGCGAAAAUCUGAGCCUCCUUACCUAAGUUUUACUUCAGUUUGAUCACUGAAACAGUAUCUUUUAGAAGCUUUCUUGAAUUGAUCUAAAAAUUCAGUUAUUGCUUUCAAUCUUAAACUGAUUUGAUUUUCAACAAUGUGGGAUAAUUGGGUUUGCAUGAAAAAAGUACCAACAAAUGGCAUGGUCUCGAGUCUUGAUGCCUUCAUGUCCACACUAAUUUAAACUUUAAAGGUAAUAACAACAUUGUUGUCCAUAUGAAAUUUCCAAAAAAAGAUAAUAUAAAAAGAAUUCGACAUGAACGUCUUAUUUUUCCCUUAAUGACAGGCUUUGUUGUAUACAUUUUCUAAUAACAUCUUUCAUGAUAUUUGUUUUUUUUUUGUUUAAUGACAGGCUUUGUUGUAUACAUUUUUUUUUUUUUUUUUUUUUAUAUCAUCAAUCAUUUUGAUUCAGAAUUCAAUGUAAAUAGACCCUAAAUGAUCACUAAUUUUAAUUUAGCCGUCAGAUACUGAUCCUAACAAUUUCAAAUAACAUUUACUUCAAAACAACACAAAUAUCAAGUUAGAAUUAUCAACUCCACUUCGAAAGUUCAAGAUCCGUUCAACAAGGGUGGACUUCAAGUUUUACUCCAUACGAAAUCGUGCAGUAAUCACCCUUUGGAAAACAAAAUGUGAAAAUGAAAUUUCUUUCUCUUCAUUUAAGACUUACAAGCCCUUUUGCCUGUUCUCUUCAUGCAACAAAGCAAAAGCUCAGAAGGGAGAGAAUGAGGCUACGAAGAGUUUGAGGAUUUUUGUUGAAAGGGUGGUUGCCUCGCUCUGCAUCAGCCUAUGAUUUCUCAUCACUGGCAUGCCCCCAGAUUUUUCUGGUGGUUUUUGCAGCCAUGGCGUUGCUGGACUCUCAUUUUGCCCGAGCUUUAAAACAGAACUGAGCCUCAAAGCCCCAAUAUCUCUAUGUUGUUUUGGGAAAUGGAUAUGUAGUUGCAGAGAAAUGAACAAAGCAAAAGCUCGGAUGGGAGAGCGUACUUUUAUAAGAAGAUGGGAGAGCGUACUCUUAUAAGAAGAUAGCUGUUAUAGAAGGGUAAUUUUACAAAGAGCGUACUCUUAUAAAGAUGAUUGUGGCAGAGAUGGAGUAUCAAUCAAUAUGCAUUUGGAGCUUGGACAAUAUUUGUGGUGAAACUUAAAAGGGUUUCCAUGCCCUUCCAUGCUGUAUGCUAAAACCAUGCAUCUUUCUGUUUCUUUCUUUCUUUUAUGCUGUCACAAGCAUUUUGUGCUGUCACAAGCAUUUAAUGCUGCCGGUAGUGGUGGUGAGUAUAAUCGGCGGCUAAAAAGAGGCGGUGAUGAAUUCUAUGAUGCUUUCAUUCCCUUCUGAGCUUAUUAAUCGGGCAUCUUGAGAUUAUCCGACCCGUAUCUUGGCGGGGUAGGACUCCAGAUUUUCUGGUGGUUUUUGCAGCCAUGGCGUUGCAGAUCUCUCUUUACCUGAGCUAUAACACAGAUCUGAGCCUCAAUUUCCGAGAAAAUGGGAUUAUUUGACUGAACUCCAGCCAAUUCAGCUGCUGACCUUGUUCAGUUACGAUCUCUUGACUGGCAAAAAUCUCAGAUGGGAGAGAAUGAGGCUACGGAGAGUUUAAGGUUUUUUUGUUGAAAGGGUGCCUCUCUCUGCAUUAGCCCAUGAUCUCUUUGCUCUUUCGGAUUGAAGAGCGGUCUCAAAAAUUAGCUAUCUGUUGCAUAUACAUUCAGACAUUUGUAUAACCCUUAUUCUCAAUAACAACAUUUUACUAUGACAGCUAAAAAAUACUUAGACAAAUGGCUCUGUAAUAGAGAGAUUUGAUUGUAUUCCCUCAGUGGGAGUAUUGAUCAGCAUGCAUUUGGAGUUUGUACAAUAUUUGUGUUGAAACUUAAAGGGUUUCCAUGCCCUUCCAUGUUGUAUGCUAAUGCCAUGCAUCUUUCUGUUUC
This is a long non-coding RNA of Lycium barbarum (goji berry), 15955 nucleotides long. RefSeq lists it as uncharacterized. NCBI's taxonomy places the organism in Eukaryota, Viridiplantae, Streptophyta, Magnoliopsida, Solanales, Solanaceae. The record is from RefSeq and is a predicted model, not a curated record. The transcript has 4 exons.